This 2888-nucleotide long non-coding RNA is filed under the name Homo sapiens (human). Its description in RNAcentral is "HSALNT0361455". Lineage: Eukaryota; Metazoa; Chordata; Mammalia; Primates; Hominidae. The record is from RNAcentral.
UCAGGAGGCCUGGUUCUAGCCCAAGCACAGUCUCCAGCUUAAGGAAUGACCUUAAGCAAGCACUUCUUCCCUCAGGGCAACAUUUAAAAAAAUAAGAAGAUUGGAUUGAUCAACAUUUUACUGCCUGUAUUUCACAGGACAUUCUCCUUUUAAUAUAUUUGCUUGAACCUUCUUGAAAACAGGACUCCAUGGACAAAUAAGGAGAGAGCCACCAUGUCAUGACAACACAUGUCAUGAGAAAGCCCUGAGGAGAUGUCCCUGUGGGGAGAAACUGAGACCUGCCACCAACAACUAGAAUCGCCUUGCCAGCCAUGUCUAACACCAGCAAUAUUUACACACCGAAGGCACGAGUAUGGCCAUUUGGGGGGCUGUGAUAUUGUUAUUGAGGAGUUUUCCAGAGAUAACUAGACAAGAGCUAGAAAACAAUGGAAGGAACUUUAGAAGCUCACAGCAACACUAAAUGGACUAAGAAGGGAACUUCCCACCUUGCUAAAGAAUAUUUACAAAAAAUUACUGCAGUUAACAGCAUACUUAAUGUGAGGAACAAGAUAAGAACUUCUACAGGAGAGAAGGAUGCAUGAGGCCAGACAGAAAAUUUUGCUGUUGAGAGGCACCAGCUUUCCCAGUGACUACUCUGGUGGACCCUGACAAGAGUAAGUCUGUAGUUUCAGAAACUCCACACUCUCUUCUGUUUGCCAUCUUUGUGAAUCUGUUCACGAGGAGACGGUUUUGGAGAUUUUUUUUUUCAUGACUAGAUUCUGAGUAUUCUCUCAUCUUAAGGACAGUCCUGUCCUUAAAUCCACACAUCUGGAAAGCAGAAUUAGCUCCCAAGGAUGCUUGAUGAGGAAAUAUGGAAACACAGGAGACCAUUUCACCAAGGCCAAAGCAGCUCCAGUUCCUCUUUUGUGGUCAUAGAGAGGAAGUCCGGAGUCAUAGAAAUUAUCCUGGCUUAGAAUCAGAGAGACUUGGAUUCAAAUUUUGGCUCAGAAACAAGUUAUCUAACCAUUUUGGCUUUGCAUUUAACAUUUGUAAAAUGGAAAGAACAAUAUCUACCUAAAAGGACUGUUCUGGGUGUUAUACAUAGUUAAUAACUUAUUUAUAUUUAUUACACAUGAAUGUAUUAAUACCAGGUAUUAUGUUAAAUAUUGGGGAUGAAAUUGUGGGCAAAGCAGAUAGGAGUCUUGUUUCAAAAAAGCAUAUGUUCUAGCAUGGGAAAUGUCUUCGUUCAUUUUGUGUUGCUGUAACAGAAUACCUGUGGCUGGGUAAUUUAUAAAGGAAAGAGGUUCAUUUGUCUCACGGUUCUGUGGGCUGGGAAGUUCAAGAGCAUGGGUGCUGGAUUCUGGUGAGGGCUUUCCUGCUGUGUCAUAAUAGUAGCAGUUCAAAGGGGGAGUCAAAUUUGAAGGGGCCCAACAUUCAAGGUGUCCUUGCUUUAUAAACAAGUUGCUCUUGCAGGAAUGGAUCAAGUCUAAUGAGAGCAAGAACUCAUUAUUGCGAGAACAGCACCAAGCCAUUUAUGGGAGAUCUGUCCCCAUUACCUAAACACCUCCCAUUAAGCUCCACCUCUUAAAGGUUUCACCUCCUAACAUUGUUACCUUAGCAAUUAGAUUUCAGCAUGAGUUUUGGCAGGGACAAAUCACAUUCAAACCACAGCAGGAAGACAAACAUUCAUCAAAUAAUCACAUGAGUAUAUACUAUAUCUUUACAAUAUAAUUACAUGCUAUGUAAAAUUACAGACUGUGAUAAGUUCAGGAAAGGAGAGUAAAGGUGAGGUGAUUUUUAAAGUAUACUUGCAUUUUUUUUGAUGCUGUUCCUCUCCCUCUUUUUAGAAUAAGGUAGAAUCUAAUUCCUCUCUGAUUAGAUAUGAUCCAGUCUUAGUGUCUCACUUCUGACAAAUAGAAUAUGGCAGAAGUGGUGCUAUGUGGCUUCUGAGGCUAAUUCAUACAGAAGGAUACAGCUUUCUUCCAUGCACUCACUUGCUCCUCUCUCUCUUUCUCUCCUUCAAUGCUUAACUGUGAGAUCAAGUCAACAGGUUGUGAGGAAGCCUAGGAAAUAAGGAGAGUCCUAUGUAGAGCAGAACUGAGGCUUCUUGACAACAGCCAACACCAACGUGCCAGCUACAUGAGUGAGCAGUCUUUAAGUGGAAACUCCAGUCUUAAUCAGACCUUCAGAUAAUGCAUUCCUCGCUGACCUCUGCAAUCUCAGGAGAGACCACAAGCCAGAACCACUUAGCCAUGCCAUUCCCAAAUGCAGAAGCUGUGAGAAAUAAUAAAUGAUUAUUACUGUUUUAAGACAUUGAGUUUUAAAGAGAUUUGUUACCCACCAUUAGACAACUAACACAAUAGAAAACCAGGAGAUAAAGUCUGAGGGAUCAGUAAAGACUUUCUUGAUGAAAUAACAUUUGAACUUAUAACAGGAAGAGAGGAAUUAAUUAGCUCAAGAAGAGGGAGAAGUAUUCUAAGGAGCUAUACCAACACAAACAAGGGCCCUGUGAGCAAAUGAUAAAUUUGAGAAAUUAGGAGUUAUCUAGUUUGGGAAGAACACAGUGUUGGGAGGGAGAGGUGCAAGAUGCUUGAAAAGGUGUCAGGGGUAGGGGAGGGUUAGAUCAUUAAGGGCCUUAGAAAGGACUUAUUUUCUAAACAUGAUAGAACACUCUUGAAGGGUAUUUAUCAGGUAGGGAGGUAUCAAGCCUAACAUUCUAGGUUUCUGCUGAUUUCCCAGAGAUGGAAACACUGGAUGAGAACCAAGUUUACAGUGGAAGAUUAUGGUUUUGGACAGGUUGCUUGAGAUACUUUUGAGAUACCCAGAUGGUGGUAUCAUGUAAGAGAUCAGAUAUACACAUCUGGAGUUCCAGAGAGAGAGAGAGAGAGAGAGAGAGAGAGAGAGAGAGA